Molecule: ribosomal RNA, 506 nt
Filed under: uncultured bacterium
Lineage: Bacteria
Description: bacterial SSU rRNA
Rfam family: Bacterial small subunit ribosomal RNA
Source: RNAcentral
UAGUCCACGCCGUAAACGAUGGUUACUAGCUGUUUGGAUUUUAUCUGAGUGGCUAAGCGAAAGUGAUAAGUAACCCACCUGGGGAGUACGUUUGCAAGAAUGAAACUCAAAGGAAUUGACGGGGCCCGCACAAGCGGUGGAGCAUGUGGUUUAAUUCGAUGAUACGCGAGGAACCUUACCAGGGCUUAAAUGUAGUCUGACAGGGCAAGAAAUUGCUUUUUCUUCGGACAGAUUACAAGGUGCUGCAUGGUUGUCGUCAGCUCGUGCCGUGAGGUGUCAGGUUAAGUCCUAUAACGAGCGCAACCCCUGUUGUUAGUUGCCAACGAUUAAAGUCGGGAACUCUAACAAGACUGCCGGUGCAAACCGCGAGGAAGUGGGGAUGACGUCAAAUCAUCACGGCCCUUACGUCCUGGGGCUACACACGUGCUACAAUGGUAGGUACAGAGAGCAGCCAGUGGGGUGACCACGAGCGAAUCUAUAAAGCCUAUCACAGUUCGGGAUCGGGA